ACGAGCAAACGGACACUUUAGCAACACGCGACGACCGACGCACGUGCGUCAAGGUGCUCUUAGACCCAGUCUAUGCGCACGGAACGUUUAGUGAUCACCGUCAACUAGCCGUCGCGUAUACGCAUAAUAUAUUCUUUGGCCGACCAAUAGGUUAAGGAACAACACUGUGGGAUUUUCCCUCCCACUGAGUUCUAUUGUGACUACCGUAUGAAUACGCAUCUAUAAUCCGGUUAUCGUAACCGUCCUAGUCUUGUAUGGAUAUUUUAUUUUGAUGAAGAACAAAUUACAUUUUAUUCAAAUAUGGACAUUGCACAGACAUAUAUAAACCGGUGUAGACACUGAGAAGAUUUUAUAGUGCACAUAGCAGCAUGCAGCUUGACAUCACAUCAUAACAUCGAUGGAUAUUGAUCUACUGGGGUAUAAGCGUUUAGCUAUACACAAAAAUGUUCCAUCCGGUAAGCACGAAAACGGGAUUUUCUUUUCAAGAGGGAGUGGAAUAAAAAAAAAAAAUAAAUAAAAAAAAUGUCAUUCCCUCGAAACGAAAUCAGAACCUUUUACAGUAAUAAAAAAAUGUUAAUACCAGUUUCCUACGUUUAAGAUGAAAAAAAAACCUUUUGUUUUACAUUUUAAAUGAUGAGUACCUGUUUCGUAUAUAUUUAAAUCAUAAAGGAUUACCCGUUUACGGGAAGGCGCGGAAAAAUUUCGAGUGGGGUCUGGACCCCAUGGACCACCCUUACUCCUUUGUUGCGUGCCUACUUUCCGGACCGAGUUCAAAGUGGCGUGUUCGGAAAACGCCACGUAUAUAAUAAUUGCUAGUCCGGAAAAACCGCGAGAACGGUAGUACCGCGAAACGUAUUACACCCGUUGUCGACAAUAAUAGAAUAUCGUGUGUACGGCGAACGCUGCGCGAAAAUUGUUAUUAUUAUGUUAUUGUGUCACGGGCGCGCGUGUAUGACUGUGUACGAUCGCGCACACGCGCCGGGACGCCCAGCCCCCUCGACCGCCGCCAGCGGAUUUCCCGACACGGGGCGGCGGGCUACAACGUCCGUGUUGCUGCCCGGGGUUUACUUUCCGCGUGCUCGGCAAAACCUAGUAGUAUUUUUAUUACGGUUUUGAAAUACCGUCGCCGUCAGCCGCCCGGCGGUAUUGGCAAAUCAAAAAGAAAAUUAUGUACGAUUCAAAUAGAAAAACACGCGUAUCAUAUGGUUCUGAUUUGUAUCCACGUUGAUUGCCGUGUGAUAACAAUAUAUUGUGUACGUUCGAGAGCCACAUAAUAUUAUCGCGCACGGACAAGUCUUUUGGGUUCCGUCGAACAACUAUAUAGAAAAUGUGUAGAAGCUGUGCUCCGGAGUGAACGAUUUUCGGUUUUCUAAGCGAUACCCGUUGAAGUGUAUGGACACGGAUGGGUUGAAAAAAAAAAACUGUGAUAAGCGUAUGAGUUUCUUUGUAUACAUGUUUUAUGUUUUUAGAUUUUGGGUAUUGAAUUACAACAAAAUUAUUUCUACCAAAACCAAUUUAAAAUGCUCCCAACAUACUC
Molecule: long non-coding RNA, 1537 nt
Organism: Sipha flava (yellow sugarcane aphid)
Lineage: Eukaryota; Metazoa; Arthropoda; Insecta; Hemiptera; Aphididae
Exons: 3
Source: RefSeq, a predicted model, not a curated record